GCAAAUUGCAAAACUCUUAAGAUCAUAUAAAUCUUUCGCCUUUUACUAAAGAUUUCCAUGGAGAGAAGCACUGAGUUUAAAUUAAUUUUUUGUGGUCCUGCUUUAGUGGGGU
This is a small nuclear RNA of Carcharodon carcharias (great white shark), 112 nucleotides long. RefSeq annotates it as U5 spliceosomal RNA. NCBI's taxonomy places the organism in Eukaryota, Metazoa, Chordata, Chondrichthyes, Lamniformes, Lamnidae. The transcript has a single exon. The record is from RefSeq and is a predicted model, not a curated record.